AAUAUAUCGGAACGUGCCCAGUCGUGGGGGAUAACGUAGAGAAAUUUACGCUAAUACCGCAUACGAUCUAAGGAUGAAAGCGGGGGACCGUAAGGCCUCGCGCGAUUGGAGCGGCUGAUAUCAGAUUAGGUUGUUGGUGAGGUAAAAGCUCACCAAGCCGACGAUCUGUAGCUGGUUUGAGAGAACGACCAGCCACACUGGGACUGAGACACGGCCCAGACUCCUACGGGAGGCAGCAGUGGGGAAUUUUGGACAAUGGGCGAAAGCCUGAUCCAGCAAUGCCGCGUGCAGGAAGAAGGCCUUCGGGUUGUAAACUGCUUUUGUACGGAACGAAACGGCUCUUUCUAAUAAAGAGGGCUAAUGACGGUACCGUAAGAAUAAGCACCGGCUAACUACGUGCCAGCAGCCGCGGUAAUACGUAGGGUGCGAGCGUUAAUCGGAAUUACUGGGCGUAAAGCGUGCGCAGGCGGUUAUGUAAGACAGUUGUGAAAUCCCCGGGCUCAACCUGGGAAUUGCAUCUGUGACUGCAUGGCUAGAGUACGGUAGAGGGGGGAUGGAAUUCCGCGUGUAGCAGUGAAAUGCGUAGAUAUGCGGAGG
RNAcentral lists this ribosomal RNA (597 nucleotides) under uncultured bacterium. Its description in RNAcentral is "bacterial SSU rRNA". It matches the Rfam family "Bacterial small subunit ribosomal RNA", at positions 112 to 704 of the family's 1533-position model. The record is from RNAcentral.